GAAAUGGUGGUUCAGUGGUAGAAUUCUAGCCUCCCAUGCGGGAGACCUGGAUUCGAUUCCCAGCCAAUGUA
This 71-nucleotide transfer RNA is filed under the name Loxodonta africana (African savanna elephant). It matches the Rfam family "tRNA". Rfam says of the family: Transfer RNA (tRNA) molecules are approximately 80 nucleotides in length. Their secondary structure includes four short double-helical elements and three loops (D, anti-codon, and T loops). Further hydrogen bonds mediate the characteristic L-shaped molecular structure. tRNAs have two regions of fundamental functional importance: the anti-codon, which is responsible for specific mRNA codon recognition, and the 3' end, to which the tRNAs corresponding amino acid is attached (by aminoacyl-tRNA synthetases). tRNAs cope with the degeneracy of the genetic code in two manners: having more than one tRNA (with a specific anti-codon) for a particular amino acid; and 'wobble' base-pairing, i.e. permitting non-standard base-pairing at the 3rd anti-codon position. Lineage: Eukaryota; Metazoa; Chordata; Mammalia; Proboscidea; Elephantidae. The record is from Rfam by way of RNAcentral.